AGUGAACGCUGGCGGUAGGCCUAACACAUGCAAGUCGAACGGCAGCACAGUAAGAGCUUGCUCUUACGGGUGGCGAGUGGCGGACGGGUGAGGAAUACAUCGGAAUCUACUUUUUCGUGGGGGAUAACGUAGGGAAACUUACGCUAAUACCGCAUACGACCUACGGGUGAAAGCAGGGGAUCUUCGGACCUUGCGCGAUUGAAUGAGCCGAUGUCGGAUUAGCUAGUUGGCGGGGUAAGGGCCCACCAAGGCGACGAUCCGUAGCUGGUCUGAGAGGAUGAUCAGCCACACUGGAACUGAGACACGGUCCAGACUCCUACGGGAGGCAGCAGUGGGGAAUAUUGGACAAUGGGCGCAAGCCUGAUCCAGCCAUACCGCGUGGGUGAAGAAGGCCUUCGGGUUGUAAAGCCCUUUUGUUGGGAAAGAAAAGCAGCAGGUUAAUACCCCGCUGUUUUGACGGUACCCAAAGAAUAAGCACCGGCUAACUUCGUG
Molecule: ribosomal RNA, 492 nt
Filed under: uncultured bacterium
Lineage: Bacteria
Description: partial 16S ribosomal RNA
Rfam family: Bacterial small subunit ribosomal RNA
Source: RNAcentral